Molecule: long non-coding RNA, 385 nt
Organism: Pomacea canaliculata
Lineage: Eukaryota; Metazoa; Mollusca; Gastropoda; Architaenioglossa; Ampullariidae
Exons: 4
Source: RefSeq, a predicted model, not a curated record
GUGCCUGAGCAUCUAAAGUUUUUUAGGUCUUCAUAAAAAGGCAAAGACUUCAAGGAUGAAGGUGUACAUCGUUGUCCUGCUGGUCCUCGUGGCUGUGGCCGCUGCCACUGAAGUCGACAAACGACUGUUACUACCUAGCCUCCAUGACCUGGUGAACACCCUGAAGUCGGAGCUGGCAUCUCAUUCUGCCGUCACCCUCAGUGUCUGUGAGGCUGCUUGUCACAGAAUUGCUGGCGCUGUGUCCUUCUUGUGUAAUCCAGCUUGUGAACUCGUCGUCAGCGAACUGAGUGGAUGAGUUACGAGCUCUUCAGGACUCGGUCCACCUCACCCUAGUCUUGCUGGUAUUCCAGCAGCCGACGAUAAAAAAUAAACCUGUGAAAAAACA